CAUCCAGAUCUUGGCCCUUUAUGGACACUACUGUAUGUUACUCUGAUGAUUCUCUGCCUUUCUGUGAGUUCAGACGUGGCACCUUAUUUCAUUUUUGAGCAACUCUGCCGUCCAGAAACUCAGUGGACCUGUAAAACUAUAUUGUUCUGCUAAACCUGUGACCACUCAUAUUUCAUGGUCACAUAAUGGAAAAAAAUAGGAUAGAAACAUGGAUAUAUUAAGAAUCAUCAGGGGACUUUGACAAUUUUUUUCUCUUAAAGCCUCCCUUUUGGGUUACUACCAAUGCAUUUCCAACAGUAGGUUGAUGUUGUUGUAAGUGGCCCUGUAACAGUAUCCACAGCACUUCUUGGUGAUUUUGGUUCAUCCACAAAGCAUGUUAUUACAGCAGAAGAAAAAAGUGCUGGUUUCAUUGGCUGCAGGGUACCAGAGAGUAACCCCAAAGCUGAGGUGUGCGCUAAAAUCCAUGGGAAGUGGCUGAAACACUCCAUAAAGAAUUACUUAAUCCUUCCAUCAGGACAUCUUUACAUUUUGCAUGUAUCCUUAGAGGACAAGGGAUCAUACAAAUAUGUGGCUUAUAAUCCUGUCAUACAUGAAUUAAAAGUUGAACCCAUUGGCCAAAAGCUCCUUAUGAGUCACCUUUCUUCAGAUGAUUUUGACAUUCUUCAUCCUGCUUGUUCACAGGUAUUAGUUGUUUUUUCACAUAUUCCUCUAACCUUGCAGUGUGUGGUUAGUGGGGUCCUGGAUCCUCAAGUGUAUUGGCUAAAGGACAGGGAAUAUUGCUCCAGGAAGCAACUGGAGAAGGUUAUAUUCUCAUGUUGCGACAGAUAGCAUUGACCCAGCAGACUCUGGAAACUAUUCCUGCAUGGUGGGAAAUAAGACUGGAGAUGUAAAAUAUGUGACAUACAUGGUUAAUGUGCUUGAAUAUGCUCCCAUUUAUAAAGGACUACAGGAUCAGUCUCUGGGUGCCACAGUACAUUUUACCUGUCAUAUUCAUGGAAACCCAGCCGCCAACCAUACUUGGUUUUAUAUUGCACAGCCUAUUCAUCCUUCCCCAUGACAUCUAACUGCAGGAAAUUGACUGAAAGUCAGUAGGGUUAUCAUGGAAGAUACUGGGCUGUAUCAGUGUUUGACAGAUAAUGGGACUGGAUUUAUGCAGUCUACUGGAAGACUUGAAAUUGAAAAAAGACAAUGGAUUCAAGCCAGUUAUAAUCAUGGCACCAAUAAGUGCAAAGGUGGUAUGUGGAGACUUUGUCACUGUGUCCUGCAAUGCCACUGGGCUGUCAGUUCCAGUCAUUCCUUGGUUAUGACAGCUAUGGAUUAAUAGCCAGCCAUCUGUCUUAAGUCCUUAGAUCUAAGUCCCCAAAGUCACACUUAUCAAGACCUGGAAUCUUGGACCUGAAGCCUGUCUACUUCAUCAUGUCCCAAGUUGGCUCUAGCUCUCUCCAUAUUCAGGAUGUGACUCAGAAACAUGUGGGGAAACACAUAUAGGAAGCUCCAGAUGGACAGAGUACCAUGCAGGGAGAAGCAUCUCUCAUGGUUGUUCCUUUUGAAACAAAUACAAAAGUGGAAACAGUCACACUUUCUUCUGCUACUCAGAAUGAUGAAAGAAAUAAAAGAGAUGGUUCAGAAACUGGAUUGAGCUCAUGUCCAGUUAAGGUACAUUCCAGUGCAGUGCACAAUCAGCAUCAGAGGAAAAUGUUAAUGGCAUCGCUGUUCCUGACGCCCCCAUCCUACUGAUCUCCUAACAGACCCACACACCAGAUACGUACAACCUGGUGUGGAGGGCAGGCAGGAAUGGUGGGCUAUCCAUUAAUGUGUAUUUUAUGAAAUAUCAGAAGAUGAACAAUGGGGUUGGUUUGGUAGGAAUUUGGCAUAUGGUUCGAGUCCCAGGUAGUGAAAAUGAGCUCCAUUUAGCUGAACUAGGGCCAUCUAGUCUUUACAAAGUCUUGAUAGUAGCAAGAAGUGGAGCAGGUGAAGGACAAACUGCCAUGCUUACCUUCUGAACCAGCAAAGAAAAAAGAGCAUUGACAAAAAACACCCAGGCAUCCUGUCCACCCAUGGGCAUCCAUAAGUAUCCUGUUGUUUCAGAAGCUGCAAACAAUUUUGGAGUGGUACUUACAGAUUCUUGAAGGCACAGCAAAGUUCCAGAGGCAUCAAAUGGCCCUACUAUCUCCAAAGCAUCAGAGACAUUGGUCUACGUCACUCAGAUUCUUCUGGAAAAUUGGGUUUCUGUAAUCACUGCUUUCAAAGUUGAAUAUGAAAGGAUGAGGACCAGUGAUUGGCUGGUGGCAGCUGAAGAUAUCCUUGCUUCCAAAAUUUCCAUGGAAGUUCAUAGUUUAGAACUGGGUUCAACAUACAAAUAAUUGAGAGUCAUUGCUAUCAAUCAUUAGGAAGGGAGUUUUAAGAGUCCAGAAUCUUGUCCUUAUCAGGUGGCUGGGUUCCCCAGUCAUUUUUUCAGCCAUCCAAUAAUGGAACUCACAUUGCCUACACAGAGGCUGUCAGUGUUGCCCAGAUAGUGCUAAAGUGGACAUACAUUCCAUGAAGUAACAAUAACACUUCCAUUCUUUUAUAACUAUUACUGACCAUCAGAUAGUGACAAUGACAGUGAUUACAAGAGGGAUGUAGUAGAAGGUUCAAAGGAGUGGCACAUGAUUGGCCAUGUCCUGUCAGAAACUUCCUAUGGCAUUAAAAUGCAGUGCUUCAGUGAAGGAGAAGAAAGUGGGUUUAUCAGUGUGGUGAUCUGCGAGAGUAAAGUAAAACAUGUUCCUGGAGAUUCUGAGUAUCCUAAAGGCUUGAGUAUCCCUCUGAAUUCUUCAGAAAGUGAAGGAAAUGUGAGGCCAGCAACCAGCCCUGCCAGAAGCAGACAUGUUAUAUCUGAUCCUUGGCUGUAUGCUGGGUGUCAUGGUCCUUAUUUUUGUGGCUUUUUAUUGCAAUGUGCCUGUGGAAGAAUCACCAGCAGAAUAUCAUAGAGAAAUAUGACCCACUGGGUUAUCUCUACCAGGGAUCAGAUAUUAAUGGGCAGAUGGUGGAACACACCACUCUCUCAGGAGCAAAUGAGAUAAAUGGAAAUGUUCAUGAAGGCUUCCUGAGCCAAGGCGGUCUCAGCAGUGGCUGUUCCCACCUUCACCAUAAGGUCUCCAAUGGAGUCAAUGCAACUGUGAAUGGGAGCUUAAAUGGAGGACUUUACUCUGGGCACACUAACUCUCUAACCAGGACAUGUGAAUUUUGAACAGCCUCAUCAUCUAGUGAACGGUGGUGGAAUGUACAUAGCAGUGCCUCAGAUUGACCCUCUGGAAUGUGUUAAUUGUCAAAAUUGUUGAAACAACAAUAGCUGUUUCACCAAAACCAACAGCACUUUCAGCAGUAGCCCUUUUCCUGUGGUCUCUAGGGUGGCACUUUGUCCUCAGUAUGGUGUGGGAAUCAGGCCCCUCAGUCAAAUGAAGAUGCCCGUAUGCCUGGCUUCUGCAUCCCUGAUUGUGGCCAGUUGCCUCACGAGAGCAUCAAGAACAAUGUGGAACCAAUCUCUACUCAGCAUACUUGCUGUCAGGAUAAUAGAAACAUUGUCAGCUCUAAUCACACAGAAGAUCCAGAAGAGUUCAGCAGAGGAGACAGCUGUGUCUCUUCAGAAAUGGACAGCAACAUUUUACAUUGGAAUCCUUUUAUUUUUGCCACCUAUCUCAGAGGACUGUGCUGAAAAGACAACAUGGCCUCUGCCUGGUGUUCCUUUAGACAGCCCCUCAGAGGUCCUACAGCAGCCCCAGGAAAC
Molecule: long non-coding RNA, 3766 nt
Filed under: Homo sapiens (human)
Lineage: Eukaryota; Metazoa; Chordata; Mammalia; Primates; Hominidae
Description: non-protein coding lnc-TRIM77-9:2
Source: RNAcentral